UCUCGCGGUAAACCUAACUAGAGGUUACUCUUUUUAGUGAUGAUGAAGAGGGAAAUAAUUGACUCUUUUUGAGCUAAUUGGUUUUAAUUUCAUAUUUUGAUGUUUCGAACAAUUUAAAUUACAUUUAAAGUGUGUUGUGAUAUUUUUUUAUGUUUAAUUAUUUUUUUUAACAAUAUAACUAUAUUAUUUGAUAUAUAUAAUUAUAUUUUUUUAAAAAAUUAUAGGGACGUACCCGUACCUUAGUUUUUAUAAAAAUGACGUACCCCGUACCGGUACCGGUAUCGGAUACCGGUACCGUACCCGCACCCGG
Molecule: long non-coding RNA, 310 nt
Filed under: Trifolium pratense (red clover)
Lineage: Eukaryota; Viridiplantae; Streptophyta; Magnoliopsida; Fabales; Fabaceae
Description: long non-coding RNA (TPRA_LNC006216)
Source: RNAcentral